This is a long non-coding RNA of Mus musculus (house mouse), 971 nucleotides long. RefSeq annotates it as predicted gene, 33791. The record is from RefSeq and is a predicted model, not a curated record. The transcript is spliced from 6 exons. Lineage: Eukaryota; Metazoa; Chordata; Mammalia; Rodentia; Muridae.
AUGAGAGCAGUGUAUCAUGGUCCUGGACAGUUAGACAGCAGCAAGGGUGUGCCUCACAACUACAGCAAAAGUUAGGAAACGUGAGACUGCCUUCCCUAGGAAGUAAACUUCUUAGCAUACCGAUCAGAAGAGUUUCCUCUUUGUCUUCAAUAGAUCAAUACCACUAAAGCUUCCAAAGCAUCUAUGCAACAGAGGGCUCCAUUUCAGAAUUCACCCAUGGGUUGGCUUCAAACACACCGGUCAAUACCUGCAGCUCAUCAAUUUCACAGGUCCUCUGACCAUACCUUACAUGGAUCUAAUAUCAAGAGCUCUGUCAGUUUACCUACAGAAGGGCUUCACCUGCGGCUGCACUCAGAACAUCUCGCAGAGCCGUCUGGGUGCCAUCCUUGAAUCCGGAAGACAGAAAAAGGCAUCAGAGAGACAUCAGAGGAAGUCCUCUUUCAUCAGAAGUGUGGGCUUAAUUGAACUCUGCGAAAUCUCCUGGAGGAGCCUCGAAAUGAGACUCACACUCUAUUAACCCUCUCCUCUCCUUGGAGGAGCUGUUUACUAUACUUUGAACACCUGGCCUCUACUAGAACAUUGUCUGAUUUUAAACUUGUUAUCAUGCCACAGAGAAUUCUAACACAGCUACCAGACCUAGAUGUGAAAUCUCAGCCUAAGUAGCCAUCAUAUCCCAUAUCCCAGUUAAAGGUGCAGUUAUGAGACACACCCCAGACUGGAUGGUGACCUGUGAGUUUGCAUAUGCUGAAAAGAAUAGGAAAUCAGCCAAAUCCCUCUACCUAUGGACCAAGGCUCGUCUGGAGACCAGUGAAGAGUCAUGACCUGAAGACUAGGCUCAAGUCCCUUUCUCCUUGUUUCAAAUGACUUCUGUUUUCAACUAACUAAACUUGGAUAUUAUCUUAAAAUCUUAUAUACUCCUAGGACAUUUUGCUCUAUCUGAAAUAAAGUAUGCAAGCUGCAAUCAUUCUAUG